This 73-nucleotide transfer RNA is filed under the name Dichelobacter nodosus. Its description in RNAcentral is "tRNA-Arg". It matches the Rfam family "tRNA". From Rfam's summary of the family: Transfer RNA (tRNA) molecules are approximately 80 nucleotides in length. Their secondary structure includes four short double-helical elements and three loops (D, anti-codon, and T loops). Further hydrogen bonds mediate the characteristic L-shaped molecular structure. tRNAs have two regions of fundamental functional importance: the anti-codon, which is responsible for specific mRNA codon recognition, and the 3' end, to which the tRNAs corresponding amino acid is attached (by aminoacyl-tRNA synthetases). tRNAs cope with the degeneracy of the genetic code in two manners: having more than one tRNA (with a specific anti-codon) for a particular amino acid; and 'wobble' base-pairing, i.e. permitting non-standard base-pairing at the 3rd anti-codon position. The record is from RNAcentral. RNAcentral also lists the same sequence under 1 other name. Lineage: Bacteria; Pseudomonadati; Pseudomonadota; Gammaproteobacteria; Cardiobacteriales; Cardiobacteriaceae.
GCCCUUGUAGCUCAAUGGAUAGAGCAGUCCCCUCCUAAGGGAAAGGUUACCAGUUCGAUUCUGGUCUCGGGCG